AGAGUUUGAUCAUGGCUCAGGACGAACGCUGGCGGCGUGCUUAACACAUGCAAGUCGAACGGAAAGGCCCAGCUUGCUGGGUACUCGAGUGGCGAACGGGUGAGUAACACGUGGGUGAUCUGCCCUGCACUCUGGGAUAAGCCUGGGAAACUGGGUCUAAUACCGGAUAUGACCAACUGUCGCAUGGUGGUUGGUGGAAAGCUUUUGCGGUGUGGGACGGGCCCGCGGCCUAUCAGCUUGUUGGUGGGGUAAUGGCCUACCAAGGCGACGACGGGUAGCCGACCUGAGAGGGUGAUCGGCCACACUGGGACUGAGACACGGCCCAGACUCCUACGGGAGGCAGCAGUGGGGAAUAUUGCACAAUGGGCGCAAGCCUGAUGCAGCGACGCCGCGUGAGGGAUGACGGCCUUCGGGUUGUAAACCUCUUUCACCAGGGACGAAGCGCAAGUGACGGUACCUGGAGAAGAAGCACCGGCCAACUACGUGCCAGCAGCCGCGGUAAUACGUAGGGUGCGAGCGUUGUCCGGAAUUACUGGGCGUAAAGAGCUCGUAGGCGGUUUGUCGCGUCGUCUGUGAAAUUCUGCAACUCAAUUGCAGGCGUGCAGGCGAUACGGGCAGACUUGAGUACUACAGGGGAGACUGGAAUUCCUGGUGUAGCGGUGAAAUGCGCGAUAUCAGGAGGAACACCGGUGGCGAAGGCGGGUCUCUGGGUAGUAACUGACGCUGAGGAGCGAAAGCGUGGGUAGCGAACAGGAUUAGAUACCCUAGUAGUCC
This 774-nucleotide ribosomal RNA is filed under the name uncultured bacterium. RNAcentral describes it as "bacterial SSU rRNA". It matches the Rfam family "Bacterial small subunit ribosomal RNA", at positions 8 to 796 of the family's 1533-position model. The record is from RNAcentral.